UGGCAAUUUUUACAAUCAUGUUUGGUUUAGAUGGUUACAGUAAUGUUGGGUUUAGUGUGUUUGUUAGGCUAAGGUUUCGUAAGACUUGAAACACCAAGGAUUUAGUAAACACCAACAAGCCACGCCCACGAAUCUGACUCGAAAGUGCAUCACCUAACGUUCCCGCUCGUAUAUAAGACUUCACUUGCUGUUUUAACGGUCUAGAGUUAGUUACUUCGGUACGUACAGGCACAGUACGCGAUUUCUUACCGCUCAUGUGAUGAAAUCCGAUCGACAAAGGUGUCAAGCGCCGCCGUCAAUCCCACAAUGCACCUCGAGAGUCUCCAAGAAGCUGGUGAAAGGCGCGCGAGUAUCUCACUGACUGAACACAUUUCUGAUCUCGCGUUCACGCGCCCUUUUAAAAGUUACAUCAGUGGUGUUCAUCGUCUCUGGAGGACUGCUAAAUGUUAACCGGGCACAAGGAGUGUUCACAGUUGAGAACCUAUUAAAGUAACUUCUGCUGUAACCGUGUUUCACUGUGUGCUGGCUGGAGUCUCCAUCACUUCUAACAUCUCUUUGAUUUCAUAUGUAAAUGUUUCUGUGAG
Long non-coding RNA from Triplophysa dalaica, 584 nucleotides. RefSeq lists it as uncharacterized. The record is from RefSeq and is a predicted model, not a curated record. NCBI's taxonomy places the organism in Eukaryota, Metazoa, Chordata, Actinopteri, Cypriniformes, Nemacheilidae. The transcript is spliced from 3 exons.